Coturnix japonica (Japanese quail) is the source of this 4407-nucleotide long non-coding RNA. RefSeq lists it as uncharacterized. Lineage: Eukaryota; Metazoa; Chordata; Aves; Galliformes; Phasianidae. The record is from RefSeq and is a predicted model, not a curated record.
GCUCCAAGUCAUCGAAGGACAUGAGCCGGAAGGAGUACGAGGACGUAUCUGUUUCUAUGACAACCUGCAGUGUAUCCAAAGGAUGGGAGAUGCCUGGGAACGCUGGCAGUGUCACGGAGCCCACAAGCACAGCAGCACCAGGCACUCAACCUGCUCAUCAUCCACACCAGGCUGGCUGAGCCACAGGAGGAAGACACAAAGAUCUGCUGGGACCGCCUGCGGGCUGCUCCAAAGCCAAGCACAGGUGAUGGGGUUUCAGCUCCCUGCCCCCCCUCCCCAUGAGCUCAGACCUGCUGCUAAGGCCCAGGCAGGAGCCCCACUUAAAGCUGGAAUGCUUCAUUCUGACAAUGCUUUAAUGAGCAAAAUGAAGAUUGGAUGCCAUUAGGGACCACAGCCCCGCACUGGGCUGAGAUGUCCCAUUGAGGGCAUCCCACUCUUCUUCCUGCUCCAUCCCUGCUGCAUUGCUGCCCUGCUCUAAGAGGAUUAGUGGGGUUUAACACACUCUCUGGCUAAAUUUGGACUCGCCUGGGUUAAGCCAGCUGCAGUUUAUCACCUUGUCCCCACCGAGCAGGAGCAGCUGCGAUGGCCAGAGCUGCAGCCAUGCUUGUCCCCAGCCCUAUGUGUGCCAUGGGGGUCCCACUCACCACGCUGGGCUCUCGCACCGUGAUGUCCCUCACCUCCAGGAAGCUGAAGCUGCUGUGCACCUGUGGGAGGGGAGCAUUGGAGCAGCACAACCUGGAUGGAUGGGACCCAUCCUCUGCCCCACGCCAGCCCCCCAUUACCCCCAUCCCACCCCAUAUUGCAGCCCGGGGGCUCUCCUAACCGAGCCCAGAACUCACCCUGACCGGCAGCACAGCCAGCAGCACAUAGGCUCGCCAAGGUGUCAGCACCUAGAAAGGGGGAGAUCGGUGUGAUGGGAGUGGGCUGGACACUGAAUGCUAUUAAUGCAUUCUGCAGUAGGGCCAUGGCAGAGUGGGGUGCCGUGCUGGGUCCCCCCAGGUGGAUUUUGCUGUUCCAGGCUUAAUGCAGAGGGACAUUGCACACCUACCAAAAUGAAGUCAUCGUACUUGGAUUUCACUGGCAGCUGCACGCUCUUGAGCAGGAGGAUCUGCUUUGCCCCCAGGGAGGCGGUGAUGCCCUCUGUAAGGAUCAGUAUUGGGGUCACUCAUAUGGCUGAGCCCUGCAUGCCCAUAGGAAUCCUUUCCCCCUCCCAUGUCAGGAGGCAGCCCUGAGGGCGCACACACCAUUGGCAUCCAGCUCCUCCAACCCACAGCACCAACCCCACUGCAUCCUUCCAGAGGGGCCAUAACCCCAAGAAACCACCCCGAUCAGCACCAUACUGUCCUACACUGAUCCUGCCCAGCCCUCCCUAUGGGACACCCAGGAUUGAGAUCUGCCCAUGCAUUCCUUUGGAAUCCCCCUUGAUCACGAGGUGCAUGAGCCGCCACACGUGCUGACCCCGUUGUGUUUGCAAUCUUCACCUCCAUUGCUCAGAGGAGGAUGGCAGCACUGCAAGCUCCUCCACCUGCCCCAUGCAAAGCAGCCGGAGCUGCGGUGGUGACGCUGAGCCCUGCUGCUGGCAGAGCUCCUGCACCCAGAGCUCCUCUGUCAAAGCUCUCGCUUGGAUUUCUGCAUCCCUGCGCUGCAUGGUUUCACUCAGCCCCAUCUCUGCACACCCAGCCUGUCGGGGUGGGUUUCUAUUUGUGUGCAGUUUCAGUUGGUACCCAAGGAGGUUGAGAGCAGAGCAUACAGGCCCCCAUUGCACCAUCCCUUCUGCAGCCUGCAUAGCCCACCACCAGCAAACCCCAAUGGUCAGCAGGAGCUGCACAGAAACAUCCUUGAGGCUCCAGCCUGGCUUUUAGGGGAUACUUUUGGCCUCAGCAGCAUCCUCAACAAGUGGGCUUGGUGAGCAAACCUGCUCAGAGCUCCCUAAGGUGCUAAGGCCACGAGGAGCUCAGAGCAGCUCUGCCAGCCCCAGAGUAGCCACGGCCUCGAGGAGACCCUGCACCACCAGGCACCCACACAGCACAGCUCUGCUUACCUUGCAGCUCGGCGGGGAUCCCCCCGGGGGACACGGCCAUGGUGGGCUCACAGCGGGGUCAGGGCAGCAUCCUCCAGCACAGCAUCCUCCAGCACAGCCCUGCUGUGUGCCGGGAGGAAGCACUGAGGUUACCAACCGGCAGCACCUCCUCCCCCUCGCUGCACUCGGUGCCUCUUCCUGCCCCGUCAGGCAAGAUUUACCCAGCCAGCAAGAGAUGAGAGAUGAGAGUGACGGAGCCUGCAGCCCACGCAGCACCCGCGAGACCCUGAGAGCAUCUUCGAGCUUUCCAAGGAGGCCAUGAGCAGCAUCUUCCAGCUCAGAGGCUCGUUGGUGUCCUCUUGUCCUACAGAGACUGGGUUUGGGAACAUAUUUCUGCUUUAGUGGAUGGCGAGAGUAAGAAGAGCUGCUCCCAACAUGGAGAAGUCACCCAGCUCCUUCUGCUGGUGUUGGGCACCUGGAGGGACUGUUGAUGUAGAUCAGUGCCCCAAAAAGCAGGACUGCGUCUUCAGAGCAAUGCAACAGGCGCUGUGCUUUCCAUACCCAGCCCAGGGUGCUCCUGUUUGGAUCUACAGCUAUUCCAGGACAGGCUUAUUGGCUCUCAGGAACUAAACUGUGAUCUGACUGCAGAUCCCCACAUCUCCCUUCUCAUCCUUCCUGAAGGCAGGCAGGGUCUUCCAGGUGUCACAAACCUCCUCAGGUCACCAGGUUUCAAAGCUGACAGACCACAGCCUCACAAUGGUUUCCUCAGCAGCCUCAGAUGUGCCCUUCAGGCUGCCAUUAGGUUUGGGCAGCAAGAUGGUAAGAGCAUCACUGAAUACCUUGAUCUCUGUUCCAUGUUUUCCAUGUCCUGCUCUGUUAAGCAGCAGUCUGGCCUCCUUAGCUGCAGCUCUUCCUGUUCCAGGUCUUAUGAGGAUGGGUAGAAGAGAUCAUUUGAUUUUCCCCCACAGAAGCAAGAGAAAGCCAUAGCUGACACUACUUACAACACCUCAGUCUGACACCCUCAGCUGUAACAUGGGGGGGAAAUCAGCCCCUUUGAACCUGGGAGCUCCCAACAGUUGAGAUCAGGUGCCCAAAGCAUGAGACCCAACUCAAGCUGAAUGUAAAACUAAGACACGGUUAGUGAGCACACACACACAGACACAGAAACCAGGUCAGCCAGCGAGGCAUGAGGUGAUGGGUGGGUGAAGGAGGCUGCUCACAGGUACUGCUCCCAUCCACACUACACCUGCUGUAUGGUCAACCCCAGAGCCAUCGAAUCAGUGAGCAGCCAGUCCAGCACCUUUCAAGUCUCCCCUUGGCUGCCCUCACUGCUGGCACCCAUCAGAGCUGUAAGGUAAGGAGCACACAGCCUACACAACCAGCACAGCUAUCUGCACGCUACCACCCGCAGCUGCCAGCACAUCAUGACUUCAUCCCACCAGCCUGCACUCAGGGCUGGGUGAGGGGGAGGAACAGCCACAACCAGAGCGGAGCCAGCAUCACAGCAGCAGCUGCUCCCAUUGUCCUGCAGCAUCCUGCCACGAGGGGCUGUGCAGCCCAAAGAAAGCAGGCAGCCAGCACACGCGUUAAUCCAUUAUUAUUUAUUAGCUGUACAGCAGUAUAUUUCUCCUUCCCAGCUUUCAAACCCCAUUACAUAUUUUAUAACAUUUUUUUUUUUCCUGUUUUUUAUGUUUUUCCCCAUGUUGGCUUCCUAAAAUAAUGAAAAAUAUCACACAGUACAGCUAAGUACAAAAAUGCAUCAACCUAGAGUCUGAUAGCUAAACUGAGAGCUCUCUUAAAAGCGAUACAUAGAAGAAAAAUCGGUUUGAAAUCAGCAAGACUGAGGCUCUAUAAAAAGCUUACAUAUUUCUUUUUAACCAUGUGACAGUUUCAUAUACAGGCAUCGUUUGUAUUUCACAUUAUUCCUUUUGUCUUUAUUAGAGAUCCCAAACUCGUGUGUAAUUACUGACCUGUUAGAAUUUCCUGGCCCAGGUUUUCGAGGGCUGCAAGUGACCCCGCUUCAAAAAAUAAUCACCACUUUUUCUUAACAAAGGAUUCAUCAACACAAAAUACAACUACAAAGAGCAAAGAAAACGUUGCCGUGAGGUUAUAACUCAAAAAGGAGGUUCCUUACGCGUUUCCAACGCUGGUUUUGUGUGCUUCAAAGCCAGCUUUCACCUGCAGGUUCCUGCUGUUCCACAAGUGAUAGCACUGAGGGGGGGGGGUUGCACUUCAAUGCGUGAUCGGUUACCAACAGCUUGUCCAACAUUUACAACUAUUGAUCCUCUUUAUCGCUUAGGAAAUCAAACAGCGGGGGUUGAUUUCAACUGUAUCUCUUUGCAUACCUCUUAAUUAAUGGAAAAAGAUUAAAAUGUAAAAAAAAAAAA